GAUGAACGCUGGCGGCGUGCCUAAUACAUGCCAGUCGAGCGAACAGACGAGGAGCUUGCUCCUCUGACGUUAGCGGCGGACGGGUGAGUAACACGUGGAUAACCUACCUAUAAGACUGGGAUAACUUCGGGAAACCGGAGCUAAUACCGGAUAAUAUAUUGAACCGCAUGGUUCAAUAGUGAAAGACGGUUUUGCUGUCACUUAUAGAUGGAUCCGCGCCGCAUUAGCUAGUUGGUAAGGUAACGGCUUACCAAGGCGACGAUGCGUAGCCGACCUGAGAGGGUGAUCGGCCACACUGGAACUGAGACACGGUCCAAACUCCUACGGGAGGCAGCAGUAGGGAAUCUUCCGCAAUGGGCGAAAGCCUGACGGAGCAACGCCGCGUGAGUGAUGAAGGUCUUCGGAUCGUAAAACUCUGUUAUUAGGGAAGAACAAAUGUGUAAGUAACUAUGCACGUCUUGACGGUACCUAAUCAGAAAGCCACGGCUAACUACGUG
This 497-nucleotide ribosomal RNA is filed under the name uncultured bacterium. Its description in RNAcentral is "partial 16S ribosomal RNA". It matches the Rfam family "Bacterial small subunit ribosomal RNA", at positions 28 to 507 of the family's 1533-position model. The record is from RNAcentral.